This 253-nucleotide ribosomal RNA is filed under the name uncultured bacterium. RNAcentral's name for it is "partial 16S ribosomal RNA". It matches the Rfam family "Bacterial small subunit ribosomal RNA", at positions 524 to 776 of the family's 1533-position model. The record is from RNAcentral.
UACAGAGGGUGCGAGCGUUAAUCGGAAUUACUGGGCGUAAAGCGCACGUAGGCGGCUUUGCAAGUCGGGUGUGAAAUCCCCGGGCUCAACCUGGGAACUGCAUUCGAGACUGCAUUGCUGGAGUAUGGGAGAGGGAAGCGGAAUUUCCGGUGUAGCGGUGAAAUGCGUAGAUAUCGGAAGGAACAUCAGUGGCGAAGGCGGCUUCCUGGACCAAUACUGACGCUCAUGUGCGAAAGCGUGGGGAGCAAACAGG